UAGGGCCACCCCGUGGCAUAUGGAGGUUCCCAGGCUAGGGGUCGAAUCGGAGCUGUAGCCGCCGGCCUAAGCCAGAGCCACAGCAACGCAGGAUCCGAGACCCGUCUGCGACUUACACCACAGCUCAUGGCAAUGCCAGAUCUUUAACCCACUGAGAAAGGCCAGGGAUUGAACCUGCAACCUCACGGUUCCUAGUCGAAUUCAUUAACCACUGAGCCACGACAGGAACUCCAAAGAUGACAAGUUUUAUGCAUACUUAUCAUUCCCACUAUAUUGGUUUUGGCUUUCUGGCUACUCUCCCACUUUCCCCCCUUAGACCCUUCCUUCAUUCAUGUAUAUUCUGGCAAAAUAUAAAUGCUCACACAAAAUCAAGUUUUCAAGAAGUCAGGAAUAAACGGGAUUACUCAAGGCACAACUGUGUGCCUUUAAGUUUGUGCCUCUCCAUUUUCCCUUUCUGUUUCUUUUCCCUUAUCCAGUUAUCCAGUCACUCUCCCAUUACCGAAAUAAAAAUGCAUUCCUUGUUGGAAGCUGAAAUUCUUCACCGAGUUAAGAGGACAGGUUGGUGGAGAUGCAGAUGUCAGCAGAUUUUUCCCAAACUGCAUCAUGAAAAAAAUUGUAUAACUUUUGCUAAACUAAGUCUUGGGUUUCAGUUCAUUGGUGGCUAGAACUAUUACUAACAAAUUUUAAAUGUAUGUGCAACUAUUUUUGAACUAUUAAUUUCUUUCAACCGUCUCAUUUUACUACACUUUAUUAAAAUGCACAAGAGAUUUGGAGUUCCAUUCCUUACUUGUAGGAAACAUUUUCUUGUAAUCUUCUUAAAUGCAUCUGUCUCCUGACUCCUAUCAUCUUUUGGGGGUAGAACGUAACAAUCCAGCAAAGCCAAUCCGUACAUUCUCUGCCUGACCAUGGUCAUGGGUUUAGGGAUGGCAUGUGACCCAAGGGAAUUCCGUUGGGGUGAGACAUAGGACUCCUUCCAGCAUCGUGGGACCCUGACCCUAUCUCUUGCCCUGAUCUGUAAGGGUGCCUGUUGCAGCCUGAGGGAAGCAGGCCUGAGUGUGAAGUUUUGCUCUGAGGAUGUAAAGGGCUAAACAAACCACAGGAAGAGGUGAUAGGAGUCCUGAGCAAAGGAGGCUACAUUACUAAGUCAAAUUCCUUUAUUCAAAGCAUUUCUAGCAGAUUUUCCCUUAAUGUGAAACUGAAUACAUUUGACUCAUAAAUUCAGUAAAUUCAGUAAAUACACAUUAAGCCCAUGCCAGGUUCUAGGAAUACAGCAAAAAAUGACACAUAAAUUCUUCCCUGAAGUUGCUCACACACUAGCAGAAGAGUUAAAAAAAGAAAUGGAAGAACUAAACCAAUACAGUGUGAUGAUGAAUUAAGAACGGUAAGCAAAGGAAUAUUAGAAUAUUAUGGAAGAAAGGGACCUGAUCCAGCGCUGGUUUAAUAAAAAUAACACUAAAAAGUCAGAAUAAACCACAUCAUCAUUUUAUAUAAUCAUCUGCUAUUAACGGCAUGGCUAUUUCCUUGCCUUCAAUACGAAACGGCUAUGGUUUGAAAGCCAAAUACUAAUACUCUCACCCAACACUGAGCCUCCUAAAAUCACAACUCAUUCCUGAAAAAAAUCGUCAUUUGCUGUGUGGCAUGAUGAGGACAUUCCAGAGAAUAAAAUGCAAAGCACUAACUCAGGCCACUACCAGGUAACUUGUUUCACUCGAGGGGUUUUUCGGGAGAACUCUCUGGGGAUCUGGAACCCAACAAAUUCAGGAAGGCAAACAUUAACUGAGAUUUUCUCAGCCACAGUGGUAAAACAGUAUUUGCAUGUUAAAACAUAUUCUUGUAUGAGUGAACUGUUCCCUAUGGCAUCAUACGCGGUAAAGGAUAUGAAAGCAAGUUAAAGAAGACGAAGCACACAAAACAAACACCGGUUACUGCCAGCCUUCCAGAGUGGACACUGCCACUAUAAUCCGAGAGGCAGGCGUUGUGAUUAUCUCCCGCCCUUCCCUCUUCUGGUCAAUCCUGGACGACAAAUGAGCAUGGUAAAGAAGGCCCAGUGCACACUAAUGUGCUGAGAUAAGGACCGACAGCCUACUCUUCUCCCUGGGGUUUGUACAUCUGAGAGCAGAGGCAGGGCUUUUGCAGCUUUUGCUUCCUCGACUCUUUGUCAUGGAGAGGGUACAAUGACAGACAACUGAGUGACCGAUCUUCUAGUGUAACAGGACGUGGGCAAGAAAACAAACAUUUAAAGGCAAUUUCCAGAGGGUGCGUGCCACCAGCUUUAUCUUCCUAGCUACGCGGUUGGGAAGAGCAGUGCCAUUUUAUAGAUGAGGAAAUGCAGACUCUGAGAGCGUAAAUGACCCGACGGAGAAAAACGACUGCAAGGCCUUUUUCUCGACGUGAUUCUGACUGAUCUCAUAAUCAUUUUAUUUAGAAUUCUUGUAGCUAAAAGGCAUUUCUACAGCACAGAAAACUGAACGGUGUUUGAAAUGAUUCAUCAUUAAUGAUGAUGCAGCCUCUUCAUUACAACUUAGAUACUAGCUCUUAAUAAAUGCUGAAAAAAGAAUGGCAACAUGCAGAGUUCCCUUGUGGCUCAGUGGGUUAAGGAUCUGGUGUCCCUGCUGGGGUUCGGGGUUCACUGCCGUGGCACAGGUUCUGUUUCUGGCCUGGGAACUUCUGCAUACCACAGGCACAGCCAAAAAAUAAAAAAAUAAAAUAAAAUAAAAAAAGAAUGGCAACAUGCAGUCAACUUCUAAAGCAAACAGGCAUUUCACAGGAUUCCACUAGUUUUGCUCCUUUAGUGCAUCACCCGAAAUAGUUUUAAGUAAGUCUUUACUUAAAGUCAUAGUUUAAAGGAACAAGGUUUAUCUCUGUGCAUAGCGCAGCACUGAUACAAGGGUCCAGUUUUGUGAGAGAUAGUGAAUAAAAUUUCUUAAUCAGCUACCUAAACAUCCCCAAAGCAGUAAAAAUUCUACCAACUAUACACAAAGUUUGCUUCUCUAUAUAAAGUUUAAACCCAUCUAAAUAAGGGCAAAAGAAACAGAAGUGAACUAAGAACUACAUCAGCACAAACUAGACAAUCUAGGAGACACUCAAAAGGAAGAAAGCAUCAUCACAGAAAAAGGACAACAAUCCAGGGCUCAACUUGCAUUUCAGUUGUACUCCAGAGAGCUGAUUUUCUCCACCCUGAACACUAGUGUAAAGAUAAAUGUAUGGUUCUUAGAAGGAAGAUCGGUCAUUUAAAGAACAUUAAUUUGUGGCUACUCUAUGCCAGGCACUGUUCUAGAUUCUCUAUCAAACCUCUGUUCAUGUUUUAUUAAGACAGCAUAUAUAUGGUUCACCAUUCUGGAAAUGUUAAUCCUUUUCCUAUUCCUUUGACUUUUCAUCUCAAACUACUUACUUUCCUAGCCAACCUGGAAACUCAAAAUUUUUCAGCAUUCUUGAUUCACUUUCUCUCAUAUUCUUCUUUUGUGCCUACUCUUUUGCCCUGG
Molecule: long non-coding RNA, 3482 nt
Filed under: Sus scrofa (pig)
Lineage: Eukaryota; Metazoa; Chordata; Mammalia; Artiodactyla; Suidae
Description: lncRNA (ENSSSCG00000056461.1)
Source: RNAcentral